AUCCAGACAGGUAUCACUUUUUAUUUUUAAACAAGCCAGGAGGUGGAAAUGUUAAAGACCCGUGCCAUCUCAAAUCCCCGGGUCUGAAUACUUCGUCUGUCACGACUGUCACUGGGAAUCCACAGGAGGUGAACUGAAUAAGAUUAGACUAUUUACCCCAUCAACCUUCCAUCAAAGAAGGUGAAAGCAGCACCGCGGGGCAAGAGUGGGCAUCGGUGGGGGAGCUGCGGCACCCCCGGGGGCAUCCGCGGCACCCCCGCGGCACGUACCGCCCGGGCUGUGCCGAACCGCUCGGCUUCCCAACGAGAUUUUUCCAUCGGGAAUGUUCUGCUGAAGGAUGA
This is a long non-coding RNA of Chroicocephalus ridibundus (black-headed gull), 341 nucleotides long. RefSeq lists it as uncharacterized. NCBI's taxonomy places the organism in Eukaryota, Metazoa, Chordata, Aves, Charadriiformes, Laridae. The transcript is spliced from 3 exons. The record is from RefSeq and is a predicted model, not a curated record.